RNAcentral lists this ribosomal RNA (1972 nucleotides) under Escherichia coli. RNAcentral's name for it is "partial 23S ribosomal RNA". It matches the Rfam family "Bacterial large subunit ribosomal RNA", at positions 894 to 2843 of the family's 2925-position model. Lineage: Bacteria; Pseudomonadati; Pseudomonadota; Gammaproteobacteria; Enterobacterales; Enterobacteriaceae. The record is from RNAcentral.
CUCCGGGGGUAGAGCACUGUUUCGGCAAGGGGGUCAUCCCGACUUACCAACCCGAUGCAAACUGCGAAUACCGGAGAAUGUUAUCACGGGAGACACACGGCGGGUGCUAACGUCCGUCGUGAAGAGGGAAACAACCCAGACCGCCAGCUAAGGUCCCAAAGUCAUGGUUAAGUGGGAAACGAUGUGGGAAGGCCCAGACAGCCAGGAUGUUGGCUUAGAAGCAGCCAUCAUUUAAAGAAAGCGUAAUAGCUCACUGGUCGAGUCGGCCUGCGCGGAAGAUGUAACGGGGCUAAACCAUGCACCGAAGCUGCGGCAGCGACGCUGAUGCGUUGUUGGGUAGGGGAGCGUUCUGUAAGCCUGUGAAGGUGUGCUGUGAGGCAUGCUGGAGGUAUCAGAAGUGCGAAUGCUGACAUAAGUAACGAUAAAGCGGGUGAAAAGCCCGCUCGCCGGAAGACCAAGGGUUCCUGUCCAACGUUAAUCGGGGCAGGGUGAGUCGACCCCUAAGGCGAGGCCGAAAGGCGUAGUCGAUGGGAAACAGGUUAAUAUUCCUGUACUUGGUGUUACUGCGAAGGGGGGACGGAGAAGGCUAUGUUGGCCGGGCGACGGUUGUCCCGGUUUAAGCGUGUAGGCUGGUUUUCCAGGCAAAUCCGGAAAACUAAGGCUGAGGCGUGAUGACGAGGCACUACGGUGCUGAAGCAACAAAUGCCCUGCUUCCAGGAAAAGCCUCUAAGCAUCAGGUAACAUCAAAUCGUACCCCAAACCGACACAGGUGGUCAGGUAGAGAAUACCAAGGCGCUUGAGAGAACUCGGGUGAAGGAACUAGGCAAAAUGGUGCCGUAACUUCGGGAGAAGGCACGCUGAUAUGUAGGUGAAGUCCCUCGCGGAUGGAGCUGAAAUCAGUCGAAGAUACCAGCUGGCUGCAACUGUUUAUUAAAAACACAGCACUGUGCAAACACGAAAGUGGACGUAUACGGUGUGACGCCUGCCCGGUGCCGGAAGGUUAAUUGAUGGGGUCAGCGCAAGCGAAGCUCUUGAUCGAAGCCCCGGUAAACGGCGGCCGUAACUAUAACGGUCCUAAGGUAGCGAAAUUCCUUGUCGGGUAAGUUCCGACCUGCACGAAUGGCGUAAUGAUGGCCAGGCUGUCUCCACCCGAGACUCAGUGAAAUUGAACUCGCUGUGAAGAUGCAGUGUACCCGCGGCAAGACGGAAAGACCCCGUGAACCUUUACUAUAGCUUGACACUGAACAUUGAGCCUUGAUGUGUAGGAUAGGUGGGAGGCUUUGAAGUGUGGACGCCAGUCUGCAUGGAGCCGACCUUGAAAUACCACCCUUUAAUGUUUGAUGUUCUAACGUUGACCCGUAAUCCGGGUUGCGGACAGUGUCUGGUGGGUAGUUUGACUGGGGCGGUCUCCUCCUAAAGAGUAACGGAGGAGCACGAAGGUUGGCUAAUCCUGGUCGGACAUCAGGAGGUUAGUGCAAUGGCAUAAGCCAGCUUGACUGCGAGCGUGACGGCGCGAGCAGGUGCGAAAGCAGGUCAUAGUGAUCCGGUGGUUCUGAAUGGAAGGGCCAUCGCUCAACGGAUAAAAGGUACUCCGGGGAUAACAGGCUGAUACCGCCCAAGAGUUCAUAUCGACGGCGGUGUUUGGCACCUCGAUGUCGGCUCAUCACAUCCUGGGGCUGAAGUAGGUCCCAAGGGUAUGGCUGUUCGCCAUUUAAAGUGGUACGCGAGCUGGGUUUAGAACGUCGUGAGACAGUUCGGUCCCUAUCUGCCGUGGGCGCUGGAGAACUGAGGGGGGCUGCUCCUAGUACGAGAGGACCGGAGUGGACGCAUCACUGGUGUUCGGGUUGUCAUGCCAAUGGCACUGCCCGGUAGCUAAAUGCGGAAGAGAUAAGUGCUGAAAGCAUCUAAGCACGAAACUUGCCCCGAGAUGAGUUCUCCCUGACUCCUUGAGAGUCCUGAAGGAACGUUGAAG